CUGGCUGAUGAAACUAAGGCGAAUGCGAUUCCGUGCUCUCUGGGGGGGGUGGAGUUCUCAAAUGGGAUCUGAAAUCUUAGUGGGGUACCUGAGCUUGGCUCCUCACUGUAAAGCAGAUCAAUAGCACUGCUGGCCUUACCUCCAUUUCUGCUGCUGCCUCUAGUUCCUGGCAGCUGCCUACAGGGGGGCCCACAGGUGAGGGCCAAAGUAAGACUAGGCACGAGCCACCUGAGCGCAACCUUGGAUCUGACA
This 252-nucleotide small nucleolar RNA is filed under the name Myotis brandtii (Brandt's bat). Lineage: Eukaryota; Metazoa; Chordata; Mammalia; Chiroptera; Vespertilionidae. The record is from RNAcentral.